RNAcentral lists this small nuclear RNA (85 nucleotides) under Canis lupus familiaris (dog). RNAcentral's name for it is "U4 spliceosomal RNA (ENSCAFG00030010736.1, ENSCAFG00845020531.1)". It matches the Rfam family "U4 spliceosomal RNA". From Rfam's summary of the family: U4 small nuclear RNA (U4 snRNA) is a component of the major U2-dependent spliceosome. The structure of U4 snRNA from yeast and human has been reported. The record is from RNAcentral. Lineage: Eukaryota; Metazoa; Chordata; Mammalia; Carnivora; Canidae.
AGCUUUGUACAGUGGCAUUAUCGUAGCCAAUGAGGUUCAUCCGAGGUGCAAUUAUUGCUAAUUGAAAACUUAUUCAUCUGAGGGA